CACGUAGGGGGCAAGCGUUGUCCGGAUUUAUUGGGCGUAAAGAGCUCGUAGGCGGUUCGGUAAGUCGGGUGUGAAACCUCCAGGCUCAACCUGGAGAGGCCACCUGAUACUGCUGUGACUCGAGUCCGGUAGGGGAGCGUGGAAUUCCUGGUGUAGCGGUGAAAUGCGUAGAUAUCGGGAGGAACACCAGUGGCGAAGGCGACUACCUGGCCUGUUCUUGACGCUGAGGCGCGAAAGCUAGGGGAGCAAACGGG
This 254-nucleotide ribosomal RNA is filed under the name uncultured bacterium. RNAcentral's name for it is "partial 16S ribosomal RNA". It matches the Rfam family "Bacterial small subunit ribosomal RNA", at positions 524 to 776 of the family's 1533-position model. The record is from RNAcentral.